CAGGGCGAUUCGGAGUGGCGGAGACAGAAAGCCCGUUUUAUCACACCCUCUUUUAAAGAAGAUCGAUUCUUCUAAAGCUUAUGCAAAAAAAAAAAAAAAAAAAAGAAGAAGAAGAAGAAGAAAGAAAGAACCAACAAUUCUGUUUCUAAGAUUUUAAAGCGAUAGGCCAGUCGGAGACGCCGAGAUUUAUUUGAGGGAAAGCAAGAGUGCGCGAAGCGGACCCAGCGUUUGGAAGACCAGCCCGCUUGCUUGGAUGUUGGACUGUUGAUUCCUCCAAUUAAUGAAAUGCGCUUGGUGUUAAUCAUAUUUAUUUUAUGGAAGGGGGAGACGCUAGGAGGGUGUAUUUAAAAAAAAAAAUCUUAAAAGCCUGCAAAACGAUCGAAGAGUGAAAACUAUUGUUGGAACGAGUUGGUUUUUACCUCAACAGCGCCACCUUUCGGCAAAGGUCAGUUGAAAUUGAUCCGUGUCCAGUUUUGUUGAUGAAAUGAAAAGAAGCUGCUUUCCUAAGGUGGGAGGAGGAGAGAGGCACAAAGUUAGAGAACCGCCCUUGUUAGAAGAAGGGCUGAAAGCAGUGCUGGCAGGUGCGAGAAUCAUUCUUUUUCUCUUUCUCUGUCCCCCUUGUUUGUGGAUAAAGAAGCCAGAGGACACAGGAGCCUUCUGAGUGUAAUUCUGGCCGAGAGACUUUUUGCAAGAGGAUCCCGUGUAACAAGCAAAGCCCGAUACCCUUUAAAAAUGCCAGGAUGGAUUUUCAGCGGGCUUUAUGGCAAUAUCAAUAGAAUGAAAGUUACUUGUAAUUCAGUGAUAAAUGAGAUGUCUCUAGUAAGUAAGAUUAAGUGCAGUGCUAUAAAGUUGUUUAUCUGAAAAGUAAUUCUCAGAAAACCUGACUUCUGACACUUAGUCAUAUAUUAAGCCAGCUUCUUGAACAUUGCACUUCAGAAUCCUCUCACCCACCCAACAGCAUAACUUUACUAUUUAUAACGAGACCUUAGGUGUCACUCAUUGGCUCCUUAGACCAGAGUCGUCUUGUGUUAAUUUCUCCCAUGCUGGCAGCCUUGGGUUUUCUGCAACCCUGGGAAUCCCUAACAAGAGACUCCCCAAAAGGUUUACCCUAAAAGGCCAGCACUGUUGGUACUUUCCAGAAAAGCACUUUUUCCUUUCAUCAUUACUGCAGAGAAGCUGUUUAUAGGAGUAGUUUUGGUUUUAUGGGAGUACUUUGUUGGGAUGGAAUGAGGUAUGCUGUUACCAGUUUGGGGAAGAAAGAGUGAAGAUUAUGUCAAUAUUUAUGCAACCUAACAGAAUUCCUUUGCUUUCCUCCCCUCAAACGGUAUUUUACCUAGUAAUGAAGUUAAGGGAUUAUAGCCUAUGUAUUCAGAGGGAAAUUUAACUGAUUCAGUUACACAAACAUAUUAUGUCAUUUAACAGUGUCCAUAGCAAUAAUUUUUCUAAGGCUUGUAAAAAAAAAUCAUUAGCCACAAAUGUCUGAAGCUGAUAUUUUUCAUGUAAAAUAUGAAUUUCAGUAUAUUUAGGAAAAAAUCUUUUCUUGUUUAUAAGAAUUUUUUAUCCUUUUGCAUCAGUUUUGGUACAAGCUGUGAGAUAUGUUCCCUGCCUCUCAUGAAAGUAUUUUUUUUUCAGUCAGGAACACUGAAACAUUCAUAAAUAAACAACAUUUAUAAACAAAGUUCACUAAUGAUGAAGACCAUGGGAUACAGAUUCAUGGCCAUGCACCUAAUUGUUGCAAUUAUGUAUCAUUUCUAGAAAUUAAAAUGCCCAUGUUUGGCCAGCUAAACGUAUUAUUAUCUGCACAUUUUUCUGGUUUAUUUUUGUACACUGCUGUCAAGCCAGGGUAUUUUUCUUUCUCUUAUUGCAGAGUCUUCUAUAGUCUCCUAUUUUCUUUUGGGGAAAAAAAAAAAAUCCAAAUCUUUUUUGUUUUGUUUUGACAUGGAGCAGUGGUCCUCUCAGGCUUAUAACUUAAUUCUCAUUUUUGUCCUUUUUACUUUAUUAUUUAGUGAUUCACAGGGGUGUCUAAACAUUUACAGUUCUCUGUUAGCAGCGUUUCUCUUGUAACAAUGGAGCUCUCUCAUUUUAAUUAGUACUAUUCAGGUUUUUGAGUCUCUACAAUUACAGCAGGCCACAUUGCUCUAAAUUUCUUUGCUAACAUUGUUUGUUUCACUUCUAUCCAAGCCAAUCUAAUCCAAAUACAAUAUGAACUGUGUUUUCUUACUGCUUAAUAUCCCCUUGCUAUAUAUACUCUAGUAAUCUCUGUAGAACAAUAUAGAGUAAUUUAGAAAC
This is a long non-coding RNA of Phacochoerus africanus (Common warthog), 2289 nucleotides long. RefSeq lists it as uncharacterized. The record is from RefSeq and is a predicted model, not a curated record. NCBI's taxonomy places the organism in Eukaryota, Metazoa, Chordata, Mammalia, Artiodactyla, Suidae. The transcript has 2 exons.